Molecule: long non-coding RNA, 738 nt
Organism: Xiphias gladius (swordfish)
Lineage: Eukaryota; Metazoa; Chordata; Actinopteri; Istiophoriformes; Xiphiidae
Exons: 5
Source: RefSeq, a predicted model, not a curated record
UUUAAAUUCUGCGCACAUUACGUCGUCUUGGUAACCGGAUGAAUGAACGCGCGGCGGGAUAACAAACACCUUUCUGAAGCGGCUGGCGAUGGUGGGAAUCUCCGUCCAGCUGUGAAACAUCUGUAGAGCGACUGAAAGCUUCUACUUCACCAGGUUUCGGCAUUUAACAGAUGAAGACCAUGCAGAGAGCCGAAGGGGACUUCAGCUGGAUGAAGUCCGGAGCAGACUCUGGGGUGAGGAUCAUCAGCGGAGACCAAGAGCCUCUAACAGCGGGAGAUGUGUUCAGAGCCUCCUCUCAAGCCCGCGGAGUGGAAGUCUGGAGCAUUUAUUUAAGGCUGGUGAUGUCUGUCUGACGCCGGAGCAGAGCGAGUUCUGUCCACUGGUCAGAGUUCAUGGUCCCCAGAGGAUGAGCCGCAACUGACCGGCUCUUCGUCUGCCUCCGUCAACUCACGGCGCAGGAGAGCUGAAGUCUGUUUCUGCAGCUUCAGCUGCAAACAAACGAGCAGAAUAAACUUGACCCCGGUGCGAUCCACAGUCCCCGAUCGUCUCCUCUGUCUGCUCUCAGCAGCGUGGAGCUGGGUUCUCCUCGUUGUCUGGUUUCUCUGAGGAGCCUCGUCCACCGGCAGCAGAACGUCUCUCAGCAGAGUUUGGUUUCCUGUGACUUCAUCCCUGUUUCUAUAUUUAAACGUUAUGAAUAUUUCAGACUGUUGUUCAUUUCCCACGUUAAUUAUUCCUGGA